GCAGAAGAGUCUCUGAGGUGUACUUGCCUGGAGGCAGAAUCAGCACCAGAAGUCAGGUCCAGUCCUAAGGUCAGACAAACAGCAACCCACAUGUUCAGAUGGUCCAGGGGUCAGGGAAUUCAAUGAUCAUGGAGUCAAGGGUCAAGACAAGCCAGAAGCAGCAAGGUGGAGCCUUGGGGGCAGGUGAGAUGUAUUUCCAUUGUCUGACACCCAGCUGCAAUUAACAAGAUUUUUUCUUCCGUUCAACAACCAUGUCACCCACCAUCAAAUUAAAUACUGCCAGCAUCAGAGAGAGUAUGAGGUCUGCCUCAACCAUUAAAGUGAUCUGUUGGAAAAUAAAAAUCCAAAAAUCCUAGGCAUAUCGACAACCACACCACAUGUGCUAGGUGUGCAUUUGCUGCCGAGGACUUUGCAACAAAUUUUGUAUCAAUGAGAGAUGCAUUCAGAAUAAAAGUGAAGAAAACA
Podarcis raffonei (Aeolian wall lizard) is the source of this 465-nucleotide long non-coding RNA. RefSeq lists it as uncharacterized. The record is from RefSeq and is a predicted model, not a curated record. The transcript is spliced from 2 exons. NCBI's taxonomy places the organism in Eukaryota, Metazoa, Chordata, Lepidosauria, Squamata, Lacertidae.